RNAcentral lists this long non-coding RNA (409 nucleotides) under Manihot esculenta (cassava). Its description in RNAcentral is "long non-coding RNA (MESC_LNC010462)". The record is from RNAcentral. Lineage: Eukaryota; Viridiplantae; Streptophyta; Magnoliopsida; Malpighiales; Euphorbiaceae.
AGCGCAGUCGUGGGGAGUUAGCAGAUGGGGAACAUCAAGGGACCCUGGACGGUCUUUUGAUGUAAGCAGAGAAGCAAUGGCUCCAAGAAGGAUGUCAGCUAGUAUGAGGGAAGUAGAGAUGGAUGUUCAGAGAAGAGAUUUCAGUUUGGGAAUCAGAGUGCCAGAAGAAGGUAUGGGAGAUUCCCAGGAAGAUGCUCAGACCCAGGAUUCCAGGAUCUCGGGUUCAGGAGGGAUUGAUCCCUCCACUCUGAGUACAGCUGCCACGAGAGGUAAGAAGUGGAAGAGAGGCCUCAGGAAGUCGCAGAAGAAGUUUUGGCAAAAUUUGAAGGCUAGUUUGGGUUUUGGUGGUUCGAGUUCUGGUCGAGACACUACAGGAUGUAUGAGGUGUGGAAGGCCGCACAAGGGAGUC